GAUUUCUGACGAAACUGCUAGCUGGCCCGCCACGUCAGUGUGUGAGUGCCGGCUCGGCGUUUGUCAUCCGUUCGAAUGAUAUGCAUGCUGCCCUUCACUGGGUUGGCAUCGCAUGUUUUCGAUCUUUUACUUUGAAAAAAUUAGAGUGUUUCAAGCAGGCAUAUUUGCUAUGAAUACAUUAGCAUGGAAUAAUAAUCUAGGACUUCGGUUCUAUUUUGUUGGUUUCUAUAACUGAAGUAAUGAUUGAUAGGGACAGUUGGGGGUGCUAGUAUUGGCCGGCCAGAGGUGAAAUUCUUGGAUUCGGUCAAGACUAACUUAUGCGAAAGCAUU
RNAcentral lists this ribosomal RNA (330 nucleotides) under Allapsidae sp. Its description in RNAcentral is "SSU rRNA". The stretch from base 109 to 330 matches the Rfam family "Eukaryotic small subunit ribosomal RNA", at positions 734 to 955 of the family's 1831-position model. The record is from RNAcentral. Lineage: Eukaryota; Cercozoa; Glissomonadida; Viridiraptoridae.